UGUGAGAGUGAUAAAUUGCACUCUGUCGUGGCACUGGUUGCAGUGGCACAGGUGUCUCGUCCUGCACUUCGCUGGGGACACACCAUGUGCACAGGGGCCAUCUGACUCACC
Small nucleolar RNA from Hucho hucho (huchen), 111 nucleotides. Lineage: Eukaryota; Metazoa; Chordata; Actinopteri; Salmoniformes; Salmonidae. The record is from Ensembl.